UACAGAGGGUGCAAGCGUUAAUCGGAUUUACUGGGCGUAAAGCGUGCGUAGGCGGUUCAUUAAGUCGAUUGUGAAAUCCCUGGGCUUAACCUGGGAACUGCAGUCGAUACUGGUGGACUAGAAUGCGGUAGAGGGUGGCGGAACUCCGGGUGUAGCGGUGAAAUGCGUAGAUAUCCGGAAGAACACCGAUGGCGAAGGCAACCACCUGGGCCUGCAUUGACGCUGAGGUACGAAAGCGUGGGGAGCAAACAGG
RNAcentral lists this ribosomal RNA (253 nucleotides) under uncultured bacterium. RNAcentral describes it as "partial 16S ribosomal RNA". It matches the Rfam family "Bacterial small subunit ribosomal RNA", at positions 524 to 776 of the family's 1533-position model. The record is from RNAcentral.